Molecule: transfer RNA, 73 nt
Filed under: Chitinophaga filiformis
Lineage: Bacteria; Pseudomonadati; Bacteroidota; Chitinophagia; Chitinophagales; Chitinophagaceae
Description: tRNA_Gly_GCC
Rfam family: tRNA
About the family: Transfer RNA (tRNA) molecules are approximately 80 nucleotides in length. Their secondary structure includes four short double-helical elements and three loops (D, anti-codon, and T loops). Further hydrogen bonds mediate the characteristic L-shaped molecular structure. tRNAs have two regions of fundamental functional importance: the anti-codon, which is responsible for specific mRNA codon recognition, and the 3' end, to which the tRNAs corresponding amino acid is attached (by aminoacyl-tRNA synthetases). tRNAs cope with the degeneracy of the genetic code in two manners: having more than one tRNA (with a specific anti-codon) for a particular amino acid; and 'wobble' base-pairing, i.e. permitting non-standard base-pairing at the 3rd anti-codon position.
Source: RNAcentral
GGCGGGGUAGUUUAACGUGGAAGAACGCCCGCUUGCCAGGCAGGAGAUAUAAGUUCGAGGCUUAUCGUCGCCA